GCUUUAUGCUAAUUUCCCUGCAACUGAUCUGGUAAAGUUCAACUAUAUGCAAAUUUCGGUACAGCUAAGGAUAUAUGUAUCAUUGAUGAUAACUUGUAAUAAAUUGCAUAAAGUCUGAAAGGGAGAAAGGCAAGGUUCUUCAUAUUCAUUGUGUGUCUCAUUCACUGCAAAUAUCUCAAUUUCUUGUGUAAUCAGUUGCUCUGUGCCUUCCAGUGGUGCAAGAAAAAAAUCAGCAUGACAAUCAAAUUCAAGUGUACAUAUUUUUUCAUUAUCAAAUUGCUGUUCUUUUGCUGUAUAAGUGUGGUCUGAGUGUUAGUGAUAGAAAUAGAAUUUCCUCAGAACGUACAAACUCGACCAGAGAUGUGUCAUAGUUGGAUGAUCCUUUUCAUCUUCAGUGUGGAUUGAAACUGCAACAGAUAUCUCCUCCAUAAUGGUACCAACAGCUAUCCAUGGUCGAGGAUUACCUUU
RNAcentral lists this long non-coding RNA (468 nucleotides) under Mytilus galloprovincialis (Mediterranean mussel). The record is from RNAcentral. Lineage: Eukaryota; Metazoa; Mollusca; Bivalvia; Mytilida; Mytilidae.